CCUACGGGGGGCAGCAGUGAGGAAUAUUGGUCAAUGGCCGGAAGGCUGAACCAGCCAAGCCGCGUGAAGGACGAAGGUGCCAAGCAUUGUAAACUUCUUUUGUCAAGGGACAAAAUCAGGCUCGAGAGCCUGACCGAGGGUACUUGAAGAAAAAGCAUCGGCUAACUCCGUGCCAGCAGCCGCGGUAAUACGGAGGAUGCGAGCGUUAUCCGGAUUUAUUGGGUUUAAAGGGUGCGUAGGCGGACUGUUAAGUCAGCGGUAAAAGCCCGGGGCUCAACCCCGGCGAGCCGUUGAAACUGGGUGUCUUGAGAUGGCGAGAGGUAGGGGAAAGGCGCAGUGUAGCGGUGAAAUGCUUAGAUAGAGCGAAGAACUCCGAUUGCGAGGGCAGCAUACCGGCGGCGAUCUGAGGCGGAGGCACGAAAGCGUGGGUAUCGAACAGGAUUAGAUACCCGUGUAGUC
RNAcentral lists this ribosomal RNA (459 nucleotides) under uncultured bacterium. RNAcentral describes it as "partial 16S ribosomal RNA". It matches the Rfam family "Bacterial small subunit ribosomal RNA", at positions 338 to 795 of the family's 1533-position model. The record is from RNAcentral.